UCCCCGGUAGCUCAGUCGGUAGAGCAGGUGGCUGUUAACCACCCCGCCGCUGGUUCGAGUCCGGCCCGGGGAGCCA
This 76-nucleotide transfer RNA is filed under the name Paenibacillus sp. Its description in RNAcentral is "tRNA-Asn". It matches the Rfam family "tRNA". From Rfam's summary of the family: Transfer RNA (tRNA) molecules are approximately 80 nucleotides in length. Their secondary structure includes four short double-helical elements and three loops (D, anti-codon, and T loops). Further hydrogen bonds mediate the characteristic L-shaped molecular structure. tRNAs have two regions of fundamental functional importance: the anti-codon, which is responsible for specific mRNA codon recognition, and the 3' end, to which the tRNAs corresponding amino acid is attached (by aminoacyl-tRNA synthetases). tRNAs cope with the degeneracy of the genetic code in two manners: having more than one tRNA (with a specific anti-codon) for a particular amino acid; and 'wobble' base-pairing, i.e. permitting non-standard base-pairing at the 3rd anti-codon position. RNAcentral also lists the same sequence under 2 other names. The record is from RNAcentral. Lineage: Bacteria; Bacillati; Bacillota; Bacilli; Caryophanales; Paenibacillaceae.